RNAcentral lists this ribosomal RNA (468 nucleotides) under uncultured bacterium. Its description in RNAcentral is "partial 16S ribosomal RNA". It matches the Rfam family "Bacterial small subunit ribosomal RNA", at positions 28 to 507 of the family's 1533-position model. The record is from RNAcentral.
GACGAACGCUGGCGGCGUGCUUAACACAUGCAAGUCGAACGGAAAGGCCCUGCUUUUGUGGGGUGCUCGAGUGGCGAACGGGUGAGUAACACGUGAGUAACCUGCCCUUGACUUUGGGAUAACUUCAGGAAACUGGGGCUAAUACCGGAUAGGAGCUCCUGCUGCAUGGGGGGGGUUGGAAAGUUUCGGCGGUUGGGGAUGGACUCGCGGCUUAUCAGCUGGUUGGGGGGGUAGUGGCUUACAAAGGCUUUGACGGGUAGCCGGCCUGAGAGGGUGACCGGCCACAUUGGGCCUGAGAUACGGCCCAGACUCCUACGGGAGGCAGCAGGGGGGAAUAUUGCACAAUGGGCGGAAGCCUGAUGCAGCAACGCCGCGUGCGGGAUGACGGCCUUCGGGUUGUAAACCGCUUUCGCCUGUGACGAAGCGUGAGUGACGGUAAUGGGUAAAGAAGCACCGGCUAACUACGUG